This is a non-coding RNA of Pseudomonas alkylphenolica, 82 nucleotides long. The record is from Rfam. Lineage: Bacteria; Pseudomonadati; Pseudomonadota; Gammaproteobacteria; Pseudomonadales; Pseudomonadaceae.
GCGGACGUGGUGAAAUUGGUAGACACACUGGAUUUAGGUUCCAGCGGCGCAAGCUGUAAGAGUUCGAGUCUCUUCGUCCGCA